This 185-nucleotide ribosomal RNA is filed under the name uncultured Eubacteriales bacterium. RNAcentral describes it as "uncultured Clostridiales bacterium partial 16S ribosomal RNA". It matches the Rfam family "Bacterial small subunit ribosomal RNA", at positions 149 to 334 of the family's 1533-position model. Lineage: Bacteria; Bacillati; Bacillota; Clostridia; Eubacteriales. The record is from RNAcentral.
UUUGGAAACGAAGAAUAAUACCCUAUAAAACCAUAAAAGCACAUGCUAGAAUGGUCAAAGUGAUAGCGGUGUAAGAUGGACUUGCGUCUGAUUAGCUAGUUGGUGAGAUAAAAGCUCACCAAGGCAACGAUCAGUAGCCGGCUUGAGAGAGUGUACGGCCACAUUGGGACUGAGACACGGCCCAG